ACAAUGGAGAGUUUGAUCCUGGCUCAGGAUGAACGCUAGCGGCAGGCCUAAUACAUGCAAGUCGAACGGUGUAGCAAUACACAGUGGCGCACGGGUGCGUAACACGUA
RNAcentral lists this ribosomal RNA (108 nucleotides) under Flectobacillus roseus. RNAcentral's name for it is "partial 16S ribosomal RNA". It matches the Rfam family "Bacterial small subunit ribosomal RNA", at positions 1 to 119 of the family's 1533-position model. Lineage: Bacteria; Pseudomonadati; Bacteroidota; Cytophagia; Cytophagales; Flectobacillaceae. The record is from RNAcentral.